UACGGGGGGGGCAAGCGUUGUUCGGAAUUACUGGGCGUAAAGGGUUCGUAGGUGGCCUACUAAGUCAUACGUGAAAUCCCUCAGCUUAACUGGGGAACUGCGUCUGAGACUGGAAGGCUUGAGUGCAGGAGAGGAACGCGGAAUUCCUGGUGUAGCGGUGAAAUGCGCAGAUAUCAGGAGGAACACCAAUGGCGAAGGCAGCUCGCUGGGACGUGACUGACGCUGAGACGCGAAAGCGUGGGGAGCAAACAGG
RNAcentral lists this ribosomal RNA (253 nucleotides) under uncultured bacterium. Its description in RNAcentral is "partial 16S ribosomal RNA". It matches the Rfam family "Bacterial small subunit ribosomal RNA", at positions 524 to 776 of the family's 1533-position model. The record is from RNAcentral.